CAAGCCCCAUCAGAAUCACAAGCUUGAAUAAUAAAUUUAAAGACCAAGUAUCAGAAGGUACAAAAAGACCACAACAUAAAAAGCUGUAACUUGUGUCACUCCAAGAUAAUUGUAGACACCUUUUACACUUGUGCCUGGAUUUCCUUCAACUUGUUUGGCCAGUUUGACUACAUAGAUAUUGUAACUUGGAAACAUAAAAUCAUUUCCAUCUUUCAAUUUCCAAAUGAUCUUUACGCUAACAAUUUUGGAUCCUUGAGAAUCUGAGCUAAUUUUGAUAUUUUGACCUUCAACCAGCCAUAAACUGGAUGGAGGCAUACAAAAAUUCCCUUCAGAAUUUUUAAUUGCAACGUGACCAAGCGUUGAAAAAAACUUUGCAUGAUGGCCAUCUAUUUUGUGUUCUGAUCUCAGUUCACCAUUCUUAGGCUUCAGCUUGUAGCAUACAGCAUGAAUCUCUGUUAAUAUGCAUUCAUUCAUUUCAAUGCAACCUUCAUAUACGACCCAUCCUGGAUCCAUUUCUGGUUUUCUAACUGGAUGUGCCAUAAUCACUUUACUGAAUUUGCUAGGGAAUUUGUACAUAUCCCCAGAUGCAGUAAGUACUGAUGUCCUCUCACCAUUGGUAGAAGAGAACUGAAGAGAUAGUCCCAGUUGAGAGUCCCCAUCUGAUUUCACCUGCAUUAUUACGUAUGUCACAGAUGAACGACAGGGAAGCAGAAAGAGAAACACAGACUGGGAUAUGUUAUACAAUCACUUUAUCAGUUUACUGUUUUAGUUAACAUAUGUUCACACAGGAGCAACAUGCUUUAAUUUUAAAUUUCUAUGGAACAGACAAAGACUCUUCUUAUAACUGGAAUAACUUUAUAUCAUCAAAAGCUCUAUUUAGCUGGUCACAUUCAGGACAUGAGUAAUGGUAUAACAGAGAAACACACUAUACCUGUGCCAUCUAAUCUCAUUCCAUGGUUUCCUAUCCCACUUUUGUUUCUAUUAUAACUGUAAGUUCAUUUUGUCUUUCCCUGAUCUGGAUAAACUCACAUUCAGCCAAACAGAAAGUUGUAAUUAUUUAGGAAGGCCACUGAUAAGUUUGAUAGUUUCAAAUUCAAAUUAACAUACUUAUAACAUCUCCGAUCUGAAAAUUGUAAGAUGGCAAUUGAAUUCAUUUAAGAGGUGGAUACAAAAUGGGUGUUUUGUCAUAUAAUAAUAGUAUAUAUAACAAUUAUGUAUUCUAUAUCCACUUCAGGCCACAAAAGAGAGGGCUUACAGAAUAUGUAAGGUGGAGAGGUUGAUUGCCCAGAGGUAGCUCUGCCAAAAAGAGCCUUGUAGUGAAGACAGCACUGUCUUCAAGAAAUCCUUUAAACGUGAUGUUUCCUCCCCCAUUAUAAGAUGCUUCUUUGACACUUACUCAACAAGGACUUGAAUAGUUUCAGGAGUUGGGCCAUCAAUGGACUCAAGAAAAGGCUGCCACAAAGAUGGGAGUAAAAAGAUAAGAAGGAAAUAUUGUAGCUAAUCCAGUCUCAGAGGCAUCAGUGAUGGUUUGCUCGACAAUAACAUUUAAUGAUUUGAGCAUCCCAUAUGAAGCAUAUUACCUUACAUUCAGCUUAUCAUUUUACUCAAUAGAAAAAACAUAUAGGCAUAAACAUAAAAAGCUAAAAUGCAUAGGUUGGAACUUGAAAUGCAGCUACAUGAAUGACGAAUUGUUACAAAUUGAACUUAUUAUUUGUUACAAAUUGCAAGCUAGAAUUCAAAAAUUUCACUCACCAAUCUACAUCCAUUUUAUACCUCCAUAUUAAUAUUGUACAUUAUUUUUCAUUAUAUAAUAUAAUAACAUCAGCCAUGUACUUUCCCUGAAAAUGCAUUAAAGCAUCCUAGAAAUGUAGAACUAGAGCAGGAAUACAAAUUCUGAUUUUGUGAUAAUAUGAUGCUUAUGUGGAGCAUACUAAUAAUAUUAUCUUAUGAACAAGAACAUGUAGAUAAAACAAAUUCCAUGGAAUCAUUUUUGGAAUGAUGGUGGAUAUCUCCAGAAAAUAGCCAUUCCAUAAUCAUAGAAAACUGCAUUGUGGAAAGGCAGCAGACAGAUUUUUUUUUUUCCAAAGAAAAAACACCUAGCUACAGCCUACAAGUUACACAAAUUGGAAAAGAAAACAUACAAGUAAUUACGGAAAAAUGACAGCUCAUUUAGUGCAAACCUGAAGCCCUUGGCAAGACAUGUUGUUCCAAGAAGUUUCCAUUACUUGUUGUCCCUCAACUGAAAUAUGAUAUCCAUGACCCUGAAGAACAUCGAAUAUGCUCAGUAAAUGGACUGAUACAUGCAGGAACCAUAAGCACAACUCAGCUACUUUCUCGCAUCCUGAUCAAAAUUUGAAUAAAAUGGUAGUGUUUUGGGAUAUUUGUUCACUAAUCCCCAUGACUUUUCUACAAGGGUCCACCAACGAUUUUGAGCAGUCCAAAAAUCAGGCAGUUGUUGAGUCUCGUAGAGCCAACCAGGAGCAAAGAUGGCAGCAGACACAUUAUCAUUCUUUAGCACCUCAAGGGCAACAUUUGUCUGAGGUCCAAACAGUUACUACAAUUUAUUAAAAGGAGAAGGGGGAAAAGUUGUUCCACUGCUUACAUUGAGAAUGUAUGAAUUUAUCAAAGAUAAACUAUAUCCAUAACUUGGUGCAAAGAAGUGCUUAAAUCAACAACAAAAUAUCAUUUGCCUAAUGAGAAAAUACUUCAUGGUAAUGAACCUGAAAUUUCUUUCACUUUUCAUUACUCAUAUUAUUCUAGAAUAUAUUAUUACAAUGAGUGCCGUUGAAACAUGGGAAUGAUUGCCAAAGUUGGCUCAUGAACUAUUUGGUGGUGUUCAAGGCUAAGUCAAUCAAAAAAUUUUAAUUUGGCCAAACUAGUCCUCUAAAUAUGCUGGUGAAAUGAGACUUGAGAGGAGAUUGUGAUGGUGGACCAAUUGGCAAUAUUAAAGUUUUUAAACUAAAUUGGACAUCAUGCGAUUGUACAUGGCUAAUUUGGGAUUUAUUUUGUUGAAAUAUAUGACACUCAUGAUUUUUCACAAUCCAGAAGUGGUAAUUUUAUCUUUGUAGCACAUAGCAUGACUCAUGUUAACAGUGACCAUAUAGAAUGAAAACUAUUACCAUUUACCACAAUAACCCAUAAAAGGUUGUGUCCAGAAUGCUAUUAGUCUACAGAAGAAUUUCCUAAAGAAGUGCUGAGGCUAUCACCAACUGUUUCAAAAGGAAGAUAAAUGAAACUAGGUCUCAAUGAUCUCAAUUGGUUGGACUACACAGAAUAAAGCAGAGGAUGAAGUAUCCUAUUCUCACGUGGUAGCCAUCUUGAAUUACACUCUCCCUGCACGUACCAUUCAACAACACUGGAUGAUCCUCAAGAAUUUCUCAGCAACUGCCUGGUGGUUGCUUUACAAGGUGAUUCCUUGCGACCAGGGAUUAGGGGAAUGUUCAACAAGUUAUGUGAACUUGAAAAAUAAUCAAGUUCUGCUGGAAAAUCCGAUGAAAGGUCUUACUAAAAGCUUAGUUUAAAGCCCUCACCCUCAGCACCACUAAACAGCGAUAAAAGUUCUAUUAACCGGAAGAAAUAAAGGAAGCACUAUCAAGACAGCACAUGCAACAAGACUAAAUGUCCAGAACACAUCCAUAUCAGGAAAUAACUAUGUUCAAUACCAAAUUUGUAUAUCCUAAAAAGAUCUCAUACAUCUUAUAAAUUCUAAUGUUUACACCACUAUGACACUCCUAAUGCUUACUUUUAAGGAACAUAUUUUCUCCCAAUUCUUCAGUAAGCAAACAUAUAUGAUGCCUAAAGCAGUUUAGUUAGCCCCUAACGCGGAAAUUAUUUCUAAAGUGAUGACCAGAUUUUUAAUUAAUCAUAAAGCAAAUCAACCAACCGUGAAGAAGACAAUCAUGCUUUUUUGCGGGGCGGGGAGAGAGGGG
RNAcentral lists this unclassified non-coding RNA (3929 nucleotides) under Hevea brasiliensis (rubber tree). The record is from RNAcentral. Lineage: Eukaryota; Viridiplantae; Streptophyta; Magnoliopsida; Malpighiales; Euphorbiaceae.